AGGCCUAGAGAGAACCUUCAUGGACAAUUAGCUCUUUGACUGCAGUAAAAAUGCAUCCACCAUUACUUACUGACCUAACUGCUGGAGGGCUAGUUCCUCAAAGAAUUGUUGUGAAGAUGUGAUUGAUAGUAUUCACUAACCCUUGGCAACAGCCAAUGAGGAGACAGUUACAAGUUCACCCUGGUUUUUUAACAUGUCUCCAGAAUUAUUGGCAUCUGAGAAGGUCUCCUGAGGCACAUCAUUGUGGAAGGGAUACCCCGCAGGAGGGGCAGGCUUAGAACAGCCACCAGCUCAUCUGCGAUUGCUGCCUAGUUAAUAUUUGCUCCAGCUGUGAUAAACUCCAUAUUGAAAACUUAUAAAUUGUGUUGCUUUGGCUUGCUAUAGUGAAUGCAACUAUUCGACACGGACCUCUCUCUGGGUUCUCACAUCCAGGCCAUAUCAAAAUCUUGAAGAUUCUUUUUCUGCUAAACAACUCUGAGG
Mauremys mutica (yellowpond turtle) is the source of this 480-nucleotide long non-coding RNA. RefSeq lists it as uncharacterized. Lineage: Eukaryota; Metazoa; Chordata; Testudines; Geoemydidae. The transcript has 3 exons. The record is from RefSeq and is a predicted model, not a curated record.